Molecule: ribosomal RNA, 468 nt
Filed under: uncultured bacterium
Lineage: Bacteria
Description: partial 16S ribosomal RNA
Rfam family: Bacterial small subunit ribosomal RNA
Source: RNAcentral
GACGAACGCUGGCGGCGUGCUUAACACAUGCAAGUCGAACGGAAAGGCCCUGCUUUUGUGGGGUGCUCGAGUAGCGAACGGGUGAGUAACACGUGAGUAACCUGCCCUUGACUUUGGGAUAACUUCAGGAAACUGGGGCUAAUACCGGAUAGUAGCUCCUGCUGCAUGGUGGGGGUUGGAUAGUUUCGGCGGUUGGGGAUGGACUCGCGGCUUAUCAGCUGGUUGGUGGGGUAGUGGCUUACCAAGGCUUUGACGGGUAGCCGGCCUGAGAGGGUGGCCGGCCACAUUGGGACUGAGAUACGGCCCAGACUCCUACGGGAGGCAGCAGUGGGGAAUAUUGCACAAUGGGCGGAAGCCUGAUGCAGCAACGCCGCGUGCGGGAUGACGGCCUUCGGGUGGUAAACCGCUUUCGCCUGUGACGAAGCGUGAGUGACGGUAAUGGGUAAAGAAGCACCGGCUAACUACGUG